CGUUGAGUAUCUGGAGAGUCAGGAUUUGUGGGUUCGACUACAAACAAGAAAUAAACAAGAAACUGAAGAUCUCAGUUGGGGUGUGAGUGGCUCUGCAGAGAGAUGGACCAGGCUGCCUGUCUACCUCCAUCCGGCAAGAGGAGCCAUUAAUCUGGUUUAAAACCAGAGGGGUGUGAAGUCUUCCACCAUUGGGGAUGUCUAUCCAACUGGGGUAACUGCCCACGUGAGGUGGCCCUGCCCAGGGGCAGUAUGUAUUUCCUGUCACCUCAUGCCACCGGCCCAGAGACACUACUUUGCGCUUUUGGAAAUCCAAGACCCUGUCUGCCUCCUGCUGUGGGUCAUCAGGCUCAUGAAGAGUGAGAGAUCACAUGGUGUUCUUCAUGGAUAGUAAUAAAGGCAUGGUGGGGUAAGCAGAACCAAGGGAUGGGUACACCUGCCUGUUCUCUCUUUUUUUGCUAUCGGAAGAAGACCACUACUCACCGCCGAUGCUCCACCUUCAUUCUAUGGUUGCUGUCAUACCUUGGUCUUAGUAUUUUGUGUUUUCUUUAAUUAUUUGUUCAGGCCAGGGUGUGACAUGGGUUAUUGUGUUGUCGU
Long non-coding RNA from Oncorhynchus kisutch (coho salmon), 594 nucleotides. RefSeq lists it as uncharacterized. The transcript has 3 exons. The record is from RefSeq and is a predicted model, not a curated record. NCBI's taxonomy places the organism in Eukaryota, Metazoa, Chordata, Actinopteri, Salmoniformes, Salmonidae.